GUUGGAAUAGCUCAGUGGUAGAGCGCCCAUGAUCAAAGCGGGAGGUCGGUGGUUCGAUUCCCCUUCCAAAA
Molecule: non-coding RNA, 71 nt
Organism: Cymbomonas tetramitiformis
Lineage: Eukaryota; Viridiplantae; Chlorophyta; Pyramimonadophyceae; Pyramimonadales; Pyramimonadaceae
Source: the annotation of a GenBank genome assembly